RNAcentral lists this ribosomal RNA (486 nucleotides) under uncultured bacterium. Its description in RNAcentral is "bacterial SSU rRNA". It matches the Rfam family "Bacterial small subunit ribosomal RNA", at positions 31 to 507 of the family's 1533-position model. The record is from RNAcentral.
GAACGCUGGCGGCGUGGAUUAGGCAUGCAAGUCGAACGGUAGGAUACCUUCGGGGUAUCUGAGAGUGGCGAACGGGUGAGUAACACGUAGGUGAUCUACCCUCAAGAUUGGGACAACCCAGGGAAACUUGGGCUAAUACCGGAUGAAAGCAGCAGUGAUGUUGUUUGAAAGGUGGCGUAAGCUGCCGUUUGGGGAUGAGCCUGCGCUCUAUUAGUUAGUUGGCGGGGUAAAGGCCCACCAAGGCGAUGAUAGAUAGGCGGCCUUAACGGGUGGUCGCCCACACUGGGAUUGAGAUACGGCCCAGACUCCUACGGGAGGCAGCAGUCGAGAAUAGUCUACAAUGGCCGAAAGGCUGAUAGUGCGACGCCGCGUGAACGAAGAAGCCCUUCGGGGUGUAAAGUUCUUUUAUAUGUGAGCAGUGCUUUCUAUGUGAACAGCAUGGGGAGAGAGAUAUUAGCAUAUGAAUAAGCAACGGCUAACUCCGUG